CUAGGGGAAAGCAACCAUGAUGGGCAUGGAAUGAUUGUGUGAGUUCACAGAAGAGAGGAUUUCAGAGAGGGUGCAAGAUACGACCAAAUAUUGACACCGCUUCACCUCUACUCCAAAUAAUGCUUCUGUGCUACUUUUUAGACAUCUUAUUCUACACUUACAAGUGCGAUACAAUGAGAUUACAAGAAUGUGCUGAAACAAAACAUGAAUAGCAAGACUCAAAUCCGGCAGCCUGAUUUCUGCAAGGUAUUUUUCUCUCCAAAGGAGACAAAGGCACUGAGACACCGAGCUGACUAACUACCUGAUUCUUCAAAAGCAAUGAGAUGACCUGUGAAAACUGAAGGCAAUUUGGAGGGCAUUUUUAAGUUCCGUGGAGCCACUGGAGAAAUGUAUACAGGAAUGAUGACUUAAAAU
Molecule: long non-coding RNA, 414 nt
Organism: Cercocebus atys (sooty mangabey)
Lineage: Eukaryota; Metazoa; Chordata; Mammalia; Primates; Cercopithecidae
Exons: 4
Source: RefSeq, a predicted model, not a curated record